This 1635-nucleotide long non-coding RNA is filed under the name Vitis vinifera (wine grape). RNAcentral's name for it is "long non-coding RNA (VVIN_LNC006198)". Lineage: Eukaryota; Viridiplantae; Streptophyta; Magnoliopsida; Vitales; Vitaceae. The record is from RNAcentral.
GGAAGUGGAAGAAGGGGGUCUCGGCGGUUGCAAGGGAGAAAAAUUUCCACCAAUUCUUUGGUUGGCUGUUUGGGUAGCCAAACGAGCUUCGUUUUGCGUGAAAUUUUGAGGAAGAGUUCUACUCGAUGCGAGGAACGUUUCUAUGGUGGCUGAUUUUGGUUUCAACGGUCCGAUUUGUAGUGUGGUAGGGAAACUUAACCCUAAAACUUUAAUUAAAUGUUUUUUUUUCUUGGAAAAAAUUAUAGAUCUUGUUGUUAGGAGUUAAAUAGGUAAUAUUUGUGAUACGAAAAAUUUUAUUAGAAGACUUGGGAAUAUUUUUGGAAUUUUGGUGAUGACAAGAAUAUUUUUUGGUUAAUAAACAAUUGCAUUUGGGUUAAAAUUAAUAGGAUUGUUAAGAAUAAAUUAAAUUGUGGUAUAAUUUACAAUUUGUUGAUAUGUAAAUUUUUUUAAGAAUUAUUGGAAUAUUUUUGGUAAUUUUAUUAUGGAAAAAUAAUUAUAUUUAAUUAUUGGAAUUAUUGGAAUUGUUGAAAAAUUAUGGAGUUGUGUUAUGAUUGUAAUUUCAAUGAUAUUUGGACUAGUUGAAAUUUUAUGUAAUAUUGGUGAUACUUGUGAAUGAGGGUAAUUAACCUCAUGGCAUUUCAUUUGCAUCAUGGUUAUGUGAAGGAAUGAUAAAAAUUAUGAAAAGUGCAUGAAAUGGAAAAAAAAAGAAAAAUAAAAUAAAAUAGUAAUGAAAAGUAAAGGCCCGUGUGAGGCAAAUUAAGAAGGGAGUGAGAUCCCUAGGGUGAAAUACCUAAAAGUUUACCUCGGGAAAACUUUGAAUGAGGAGUGUAUUUAGGUACGGACAUGUAUCCUUCGGUGAAAGCCCGAUAAUGAUAAUGCAUUGUAUGACUGUGUGUCACAUGUCCAUAUGCAUUUUAUUUAAUUGUUGAAAAUUGUGGAAUUGUUAUAAUUAUAGAUAUUAAAAAUGUGGGUGAUCAAUGUUAAUGAAAUGAUUCUUUUGUGUUCAUUUGAAACUUAGUAAUCCCCAUUAACCCCUUGGGUGUUAGGCACCCUACUGAGCAAUGUGAAAUGCUCAUCUCUUCCUUUUUACAUCUUUUUAGAUGCAGAUGUCACUCCUAAGGAUCCACAGGUGGGAUAGAGAGGAUUUCAGGAUGCCCUAGGAGGUUUUGGAGCGGCCUAGUGGGUACAGUGUAUUUGUUAUGUUAGCUAUAUUGGAACUUGUAUUCGCAAAUUGUGAACUAUGUAUUUGUAAUGAGACUUUAUUUUGAUUAAUUUGCUCAACUGUGAACUUUUAUUUCUAGACUUUAAUGAUAAUUAUUAUAUCUUGUUGCUCUUGAGUAGUGAUUGGUAUAUUGAUAGUUUGGAUUGUUAGUUGAUGGGAACUCUGGUGUGAUUUAUACGUUGGAAAAAAAAAAAGAUAUUAAAAAUGUGGGUGAUCAAUGUUAAUGAAAUGAUUCUUUUGUGUUCAUUUGAAACUUAGUAAUCCCCAUUAACCCCUUGGGUGUUAGGCACCCUACUGAGCAAUGUGGAAUGCUCAUCUCUUCCUUUUUACAUCUUUUUAGAUGCAGAUGUCACUCCUAAGGAUCCACAGGUGGGGUAGAGAGGAUUUCAGGAUGCCCUAGGAGGUUUUGGAGC